Molecule: long non-coding RNA, 525 nt
Organism: Mauremys mutica (yellowpond turtle)
Lineage: Eukaryota; Metazoa; Chordata; Testudines; Geoemydidae
Exons: 3
Source: RefSeq, a predicted model, not a curated record
GCGGCACCUCUACCGCAGUGCACCUGCUAUGAUGAGGACAGGCUUUUUCUAACUCCUCUAGCAAGCAUUAGCCAAUAAUUUAGGGCAAAUCCUAUUUUUGAUCAUUUGGAUCUUACAAUGUCACCGAGAGUGAAAUCUUUCCAGGACGUUACACAAAAGGCACAGAAAAACGUGGUCCCCAAAUCCCUGCACAGACUGAGAUAAAGACCACAAGCCGAGGAAGAAGAAAAAUUAAGAUAUGGAAGGGUUUUAAAAAACCAGGACAAAAAAACUUCAAAGGCAGGUAACAAAUAUGCAGCUCGCUACAAAUGAAAGCCCAAUGAGAAGUGGAAAGGCAGUUUUCAGCCACAGACUCACAUCAGGAUAAUUUCCCCACCCAAAAUUUAUGCCUCUUAUCUGGCUCCCAGAAACACAUCUUACCAUCAUCACCUCCCCUUGAAUUUCUCAGGGCAUGUAAUGAACCCAUAUAAGCAGACUAAUAAAACUUCCAUGAGGGAGUGGAGAUUGUUGUGCUCCUCUCUUACA